This 253-nucleotide ribosomal RNA is filed under the name uncultured bacterium. Its description in RNAcentral is "partial 16S ribosomal RNA". It matches the Rfam family "Bacterial small subunit ribosomal RNA", at positions 524 to 776 of the family's 1533-position model. The record is from RNAcentral.
UACGUAGGGUGCAAGCGUUAAUCGGAAUUACUGGGCGUAAAGCGUGCGUAGGCGGUUAUGCAAGACAGAUGUGAAAUCCCCGGGCUCAACCUGGGAACUGCAUUUGUGACUGCAUGGCUAGAGUGCGGCAGAGGGGGAUGGAAUUCCGCGUGUAGCAGUGAAAUGCGUAGAUAUGCGGAGGAACACCGAUGGCGAAGGCAAUCCCCUGGGCCUGCACUGACGCUCAUGCACGAAAGCGUGGGGAGCAAACAGG